GACGAACGCUGGCGGCGUGCCUAAUACAUGCAAGUAGAACGCUGAAGGAGGAGCUUGCUCUUCUGGAUGAGUUGCGAACGGGUGAGUAACGCGUAGGUAACCUGCCUGGUAGCGGGGGAUAACUAUUGGAAACGAUAGCUAAUACCGCAUAAGAGUAGAUGUUGCAUGACAUUUACUUAAAAGGUGCAAUUGCAUCACUACCAGAUGGACCUGCGUUGUAUUAGCUAGUUGGUGGGGUAACGGCUUACCAAGGCGACGAUACAUAGCCGACCUGGGAGGGGGGUCGGCCACACUGGGACCUGGGCCCGGCCCAGACUCCUACGGGGGGCCGCAGGAGGGAAUCUUCGGCAAAGGACGGAAAUCUGACCGAGCAACGCCGCGUGAGUGAAGAAGGGUUUCGGAUCGUAAAGCUCUGUUGUAAGAGAAGAACGAGUGUGAGAGUGGAAAGUUCACACUGUGACGGUAUCUUACCAGAAAGGGACGGCUAACUACGUG
Molecule: ribosomal RNA, 495 nt
Filed under: uncultured bacterium
Lineage: Bacteria
Description: partial 16S ribosomal RNA
Rfam family: Bacterial small subunit ribosomal RNA
Source: RNAcentral